Molecule: ribosomal RNA, 453 nt
Filed under: uncultured bacterium
Lineage: Bacteria
Description: bacterial SSU rRNA
Rfam family: Bacterial small subunit ribosomal RNA
Source: RNAcentral
AGUCGAGCGGAACGAUGGUAGCUUGCUACCAGGCGUCGAGCGGCGGACGGGUGAGUAAUGCUUAGGAAUCUGCCUAGUAGUGGGGGAUAGCCCGGGGAAACUCGGAUUAAUACCGCAUACGCCCUACGGGGGAAAGCAGGGGAUCUUCSGACCUUGCGCUAUUAGAUGAGCCUAAGUCGGAUUAGCUUGUUGGUGGGGUAAUGGCCUACCAAGGCGACKAUCCGUAGCUGGUCUGAGAGGAUGAUCAGCCACAUCGGGACUGAGACACGGCCCGAACUCCUACGGGAGGCAGCAGUGGGGAAUAUUGGACAAUGGGCGCAAGCCUGAUCCAGCCAUGCCGCGUGUGUGAAGAAGGCUUUCGGGUUGUAAAGCACUUUCAGCGAGGAGGAAGGCCUUAACGCUAAUAUCGUUGAGGAUUGACGUCACUCGCAGAAGAAGCACCGGCUAACUCCG